This 693-nucleotide ribosomal RNA is filed under the name Pseudomonas sp. enrichment culture clone WW3_55. RNAcentral's name for it is "bacterial SSU rRNA". It matches the Rfam family "Bacterial small subunit ribosomal RNA", at positions 31 to 719 of the family's 1533-position model. The record is from RNAcentral. Lineage: Bacteria; Pseudomonadati; Pseudomonadota; Gammaproteobacteria; Pseudomonadales; Pseudomonadaceae.
GAACGCUGGCGGCAGGCCUAACACAUGCAAGUCGAGCGGUUGACGGGAGCUUGCUCCCUGAUUCAGCGGCGGACGGGUGAGUAAUGCCUAGGAAUCUGCCUAUUAGUGGGGGACAACGUUUCGAAAGGAACGCUAAUACCGCAUACGUCCUACGGGAGAAAGCAGGGGACCUUCGGGCCUUGCGCUAAUAGAUGAGCCUAGGUCGGAUUAGCUAGUUGGUGAGGUAAUGGCUCACCAAGGCGACGAUCCGUAACUGGUCUGAGAGGAUGAACAGUCACACUGGAACUGAGACACGGUCCAGACUCCUACGGGAGGCAGCAGUGGGGAAUAUUGGACAAUGGGCGAAAGCCUGAUCCAGCCAUGCCGCGUGUGUGAAGAAGGUCUUCGGAUUGUAAAGCACUUUAAGUUGGGAGGAAGGGUUGUAGAUUAAUACUCUGCAAUUUUGACGUUACCGACAGAAUAAGCACCGGCUAACUCUGUGCCAGCAGCCGCGGUAAUACAGAGGGUGCAAGCGUUAAUCGGAAUUACUGGGCGUAAAGCGCGCGUAGGUGGUUUGUUAAGUUGGAUGUGAAAGCCCCGGGCUCAACCUGGGAACUGCAUCCAAAACUGGCAAGCUAGAGUACGGUAGAGGGUGGUGGAAUUUCCUGUGUAGCGGUGAAAUGCGUAGAUAUAGGAAGGAACACCAGUGGCGAA